AGAAUGGAUAUUCUGUGAACGUGGAGAAAAUUAUGCUAUCCGAUUGACCGUUGAAACCAAGAACCUCCAAUGAUACCAGCUGACAUUUUCUAUGAACUCCUGUUAGAACUUGAUUUGUUGAUGUUUGUUCAUGCCAUGAAGAUGGCUGAUGCAUCUUAUUUUAAAGUCCUUCCCUGGAUCUUAUUGCAAAAGAAGGAAAUGAUUCAUGCCCAGUGUUGGAGGAUGCCUAAGAACACAAUGGAAUCUUUGAGAGAUGAAUCAGCAUCUCAGUGAAGCUGGGAGAAUCAUAAACACUCCUCAGAUCACAUGUCAAAAAACACCAAUCCAACCAUCUGGAGAAUGGUUUAGCAGUUCCAUCAGGGCUGUACUUGGUAAACGUCCCUUUAGGACCUCUUUUCCAUGCCUUCUACACUUAGGAGGAAUCAGAAAAUGGAUGGAUAAUAGUGGUAACUCUUAAUUUAAGUUGGAUCUGAGCGGCCAUACAAGUAAUACAGAAAUUAUGGGAAAAGGUUUGUGUAAUUCGUGUGUACCAAGGCCACGUGGCAGUUUGCUCCCAACAAUGUUGUAAAAGAAGAGAAAGGCUUUCUGUUUUUCCAGGAAAGAAUCUCCUAACACAUGGAACUGGACUGAAAUCAAGCACAUGGAAACAAGAAGGACAAAUAAAAAAAAAAAAAAAAAAAAAAAAGAGAAGAGGCACAAAUCUCCCCCAUGUGUGCAGAAGGGAAUGUUCUCAUACGACAUCGCAGUAACCUCGUGCAGUACAUGGAAAGGCAGUGCUGCCCCAGGGGAGGGGUGUGGAAUCAGAGGUGAGCUAAACAGUAGCCUUGAAGUCCAGUGUUACUGCCAAUGUCGCCUUCCGCCACACCUGCGCUUUCACUGUAACUGUUUCACUCCAGCCAUGAAGGCCGUCAAGAUAGCUGUGCCAAGGGCUCCAUUUUCUGAUUGGGCAUUUUUUUUUUCCUCCAAUUUAAUUCUUUUAAUAUUUCUUACUUUGAUUAUUUUUUAUUUAACUACUGUUAAUUCACUGAUUUCAGCUUAAUGAGCUCUUCCUGAGUAAAUACAUUAGUGAAUUAAACCUCAUCAGAUUCUUUUUUUCUCCCUUAA
Long non-coding RNA from Acinonyx jubatus (cheetah), 1104 nucleotides. RefSeq lists it as uncharacterized. The transcript has 3 exons. Lineage: Eukaryota; Metazoa; Chordata; Mammalia; Carnivora; Felidae. The record is from RefSeq and is a predicted model, not a curated record.